UGCACCCUGUCCGAUGGUGAGGUCAUCCAAGGUAAGUCUGCCCAAAGGGCAGCGCCUCACCGCCCGCAAGGGUAGGGACAGGGGGGAGGU
RNAcentral lists this non-coding RNA (90 nucleotides) under unclassified sequences. RNAcentral describes it as "DUF1874 RNA". It matches the Rfam family "DUF1874 RNA". Rfam says of the family: Hot springs metagenome only. The record is from RNAcentral.